This is a long non-coding RNA of Pogoniulus pusillus (Red-fronted tinkerbird), 1292 nucleotides long. RefSeq lists it as uncharacterized. The record is from RefSeq and is a predicted model, not a curated record. NCBI's taxonomy places the organism in Eukaryota, Metazoa, Chordata, Aves, Piciformes, Lybiidae. The transcript has 3 exons.
AGGUGUGUUUGUGUGUUACCUCUUGACUGUGACUCUGGAAGUAACAUGUACCUGAGGUCAUGUCAGUGUGAAGUUACUGGUGUGCGUUUUGCCAGUGGAGGCUUCGUAGCCGGUAAGCUGGCUUGCAAAUCUACCAACUCUUCACGACUGGAACGUCAACGCUUGCAUUGUGCAUCUUCGAAUGAUGGCUUAUGUCACUGGAGGAGACUCAGAACCUGCGAUUACUAACCAAGAAAACACUGAACCCAGUCCUUCAAGCAAUCAUCCAAUGGCAGCAAUAUGAAACCAAGCUGAAGGCAAUUCAAUUCUGACCUGGACUUGUGAUUAUUCAAACAGGCUGAUGACGUCACCUGCAAAUCACCAUGUGAGAGAUAGCAUAUGCCAUAUAUUCAUGCACACACCCACAGGUUAUACAUUCAAAAUAAACACCCUCCCCUGAACCAAAAGACUCUGUUCAACUACAGGGUGAGCUGUCUGUGUUGUGAGGGAAAUCAGUCACCUUGGUGAACCUCUCUCUGCCUUGACCUAGCAUAACCCAUUAUCCUUAACCUAACUAUCAGCUCUCCCUUGUUGAGCUUUGUUCAGUUUAUCAUUAUGCAGCCAGCACGUGUCUCUCUUUUUGGCAAUGAAACACUUGACUGGCAUGUCAAGCCAACAGCUGUUUCAUGCAUGUAAGAAAGGUGGCUGCAUUCACACCGCAGCUUGUUGCCAGUAUCGGACUCACGAGCACUCCUACCUGGUCACAGAUACAAUGGGGCCACCGACAGAGCUGCAGCAAACGCUGCACACCAAACCUGAGCCAUAUAUUGAGACUAAGAAAUGCAUCCCCUAAGAGUAGCUUCUACUGAAAAACUUACACAUUUACAGGGGGAAAAAUAACCAGUAGUGAUUUCUAACUAAUGGUUACUUCAUUGCCUUAGGAGUAAGUCAGUUCGUAUGCCAUGACGAAAUCAGAUGCAACACAACAUCAAUGCCUAACUAUAUGUUUUCAUUGAUUCCCAUUUCUUUCUUUUGUAAUAAGGAGAAAAGGAGAUUUGUCAUCUUUCAAAUACACACAAUUCCAAAUUAGCUACCCUAUAAUUGUCUUCCUGAAUCAGCUGUACUAUUUAAUUACCAACUGCCAACCAGCAUAUAGAUCAAUGUCCACACUUUCUGUUUCAUUUGAUUUCUGAAAUGUCCUCACUUCUCAAAAUAGUGCUCAGGUAGUGCUUCGGGUUGAUUAAAAAACCCUCAAACCUGUAAAAUAGUACUUACCUUGUCCUUUUUCAAAAAAUAUAAUCUUGGAUUCUGGA